Molecule: ribosomal RNA, 2770 nt
Filed under: Klebsiella pneumoniae
Lineage: Bacteria; Pseudomonadati; Pseudomonadota; Gammaproteobacteria; Enterobacterales; Enterobacteriaceae
Description: partial 23S ribosomal RNA
Rfam family: Bacterial large subunit ribosomal RNA
Source: RNAcentral
CACUAUCGUUAACUGAAUACAUAGGUUAACGAGGCGAACCGGGGGAACUGAAACAUCUAAGUACCCCGAGGAAAAGAAAUCAACCGAGAUUCCCCCAGUAGCGGCGAGCGAACGGGGAGCAGCCCAGAGUCUGAAUCAGCUUGUGUGUUAGUGGAACGGUCUGGAAAGUCCGACGGUACAGGGUGAUAGUCCCGUACACCAAAAUGCACAGGCUGUGAACUCGAAGAGUAGGGCGGGACACGUGGUAUCCUGUCUGAAUAUGGGGGGACCAUCCUCCAAGGCUAAAUACUCCUGACUGACCGAUAGUGAACCAGUACCGUGAGGGAAAGGCGAAAAGAACCCCGGCGAGGGGAGUGAAAAAGAACCUGAAACCGUGUACGUACAAGCAGUGGGAGCACCUUCGGGUGUGACUGCGUACCUUUUGUAUAAUGGGUCAGCGACUUAUAUUCUGUAGCAAGGUUAACCGUAUAGGGGAGCCGCAGGGAAACCGAGUCUUAACUGGGCGUUAAGUUGCAGGGUAUAGACCCGAAACCCGGUGAUCUAGCCAUGGGCAGGUUGAAGGUUGGGUAACACUAACUGGAGGACCGAACCGACUAAUGUUGAAAAAUUAGCGGAUGACUUGUGGCUGGGGGUGAAAGGCCAAUCAAACCGGGAGAUAGCUGGUUCUCCCCGAAAGCUAUUUAGGUAGCGCCUCGUGAACUCAUCUUCGGGGGUAGAGCACUGUUUCGGCUAGGGGGUCAUCCCGACUUACCAACCCGAUGCAAACUACGAAUACCGAAGAAUGUUAUCACGGGAGACACACGGCGGGUGCUAACGUCCGUCGUGAAGAGGGAAACAACCCAGACCGCCAGCUAAGGUCCCAAAGUCAUGGUUAAGUGGGAAACGAUGUGGGAAGGCACAGACAGCCAGGAUGUUGGCUUAGAAGCAGCCAUCAUUUAAAGAAAGCGUAAUAGCUCACUGGUCGAGUCGGCCUGCGCGGAAGAUGUAACGGGGCUAAACCAUGCACCGAAGCUGCGGCAGCGACACUAUGUGUUGUUGGGUAGGGGAGCGUUCUGUAAGCCUGCGAAGGUGACCUGUGAGGGUUGCUGGAGGUAUCAGAAGUGCGAAUGCUGACAUAAGUAACGAUAAAGCGGGUGAAAAGCCCGCUCGCCGGAAGACCAAGGGUUCCUGUCCAACGUUAAUCGGGGCAGGGUGAGUCGACCCCUAAGGCGAGGCCGAAAGGCGUAGUCGAUGGGAAACAGGUUAAUAUUCCUGUACUUGGUGUUACUGCGAAGGGGGGACGGAGAAGGCUAUGUUAGCCGGGCGACGGUUGUCCCGGUUUAAGCAUGUAGGCUGAUUAUCCAGGCAAAUCCGGAUAAUCAAGGCUGAGGUGUGAUGACGAGGCACUACGGUGCUGAAGUAACAAAUGCCCUGCUUCCAGGAAAAGCCUCUAAGCAUCAGGUAACAUCAAAUCGUACCCCAAACCGACACAGGUGGUCAGGUAGAGAAUACCAAGGCGCUUGAGAGAACUCGGGUGAAGGAACUAGGCAAAAUGGUGCCGUAACUUCGGGAGAAGGCACGCUGGUGUGUAGGUGAAGCCCCUGCGGGUGGAGCUGAGACCAGUCGAAGAUACCAGCUGGCUGCAACUGUUUAUUAAAAACACAGCACUGUGCAAACACGAAAGUGGACGUAUACGGUGUGACGCCUGCCCGGUGCCGGAAGGUUAAUUGAUGGGGUUAUCCGUAAGGAGAAGCUCUUGAUCGAAGCCCCGGUAAACGGCGGCCGUAACUAUAACGGUCCUAAGGUAGCGAAAUUCCUUGUCGGGUAAGUUCCGACCUGCACGAAUGGCGUAAUGAUGGCCAGGCUGUCUCCACCCGAGACUCAGUGAAAUUGAACUCGCUGUGAAGAUGCAGUGUACCCGCGGCAAGACGGAAAGACCCCGUGAACCUUUACUAUAGCUUGACACUGAACAUUGAGCCUUGAUGUGUAGGAUAGGUGGGAGGCUUUGAAGCGUGGACGCCAGUCUGCGUGGAGCCAACCUUGAAAUACCACCCUUUAAUGUUUGAUGUUCUAACGUUGGCCCCUGACCGGGGUUGCGGACAGUGUCUGGUGGGUAGUUUGACUGGGGCGGUCUCCUCCCAAAGCGUAACGGAGGAGCACGAAGGUUAGCUAAUCCUGGUCGGACAUCAGGAGGUUAGUGCAAUGGCAUAAGCUAGCUUGACUGCGAGCGUGACGGCGCGAGCAGGUGCGAAAGCAGGUCAUAGUGAUCCGGUGGUUCUGAAUGGAAGGGCCAUCGCUCAACGGAUAAAAGGUACUCCGGGGAUAACAGGCUGAUACCGCCCAAGAGUUCAUAUCGACGGCGGUGUUUGGCACCUCGAUGUCGGCUCAUCACAUCCUGGGGCUGAAGUAGGUCCCAAGGGUAUGGCUGUUCGCCAUUUAAAGUGGUACGCGAGCUGGGUUUAGAACGUCGUGAGACAGUUCGGUCCCUAUCUGCCGUGGGCGCUGGAGAAUUGAGGGGGGCUGCUCCUAGUACGAGAGGACCGGAGUGGACGCAUCACUGGUGUUCGGGUUGUCAUGCCAAUGGCACUGCCCGGUAGCUAAAUGCGGAAGAGAUAAGUGCUGAAAGCAUCUAAGCACGAAACUUGCCCCGAGAUGAGUUCUCCCUGAGACUUUAAGUCUCCUGAAGGAACGUUAAAGACGAUGACGUUGAUAGGCCGGGUGUGUAAGCGCAGCGAUGCGUUGAGCUAACCGGUACUAAUGAACCGUGAGGCUUAACCUUACAACGCCGAAG